RNAcentral lists this ribosomal RNA (220 nucleotides) under uncultured fungus. Its description in RNAcentral is "partial 18S ribosomal RNA". The stretch from base 46 to 220 matches the Rfam family "Eukaryotic small subunit ribosomal RNA", at positions 691 to 867 of the family's 1831-position model. The record is from RNAcentral. Lineage: Eukaryota; Fungi.
AGAUUUAUUCAUUGGUCAGGCUUAAUUGUCUGUACUGGUGAGAUGAAUCUCUACCUUCUGAGGAACUUUCAUGCCAUUUAUUUGGUGUAAUUGGAAAUCAGGACUAUUACUUUGAAAAAUUAGAGUGUUUAAAGCAGGCUAACGUCUGAAUACAUUAGCAUGGAAUAAUGAAAUAGGACGGACUGGUUCUAUUUUGUUGGUUUCUAGGAUCACCGUAAUG